CGCGUAGGCGGCCACCGCAAGUCGACUGUGAAAUCUCCGGGCUUAACCCGGAACGGUCAGCCGAUACUGCGGGGCUAGAGUGCAGAAGGGGCAACUGGAAUUCUCGGUGUAGCGGUGAAAUGCGUAGAUAUCGAGAGGAACACCUGCGGCGAAGGCGGGUUGCUGGGCUGACACUGACGCUGAGGCGCGAAAGCUAGGGGAGCGAACG
RNAcentral lists this ribosomal RNA (208 nucleotides) under uncultured bacterium. RNAcentral's name for it is "partial 16S ribosomal RNA". It matches the Rfam family "Bacterial small subunit ribosomal RNA", at positions 568 to 774 of the family's 1533-position model. The record is from RNAcentral.